GGAGCGAAUUGGGCGAUCGCUAUAGUUUUUCUGUAGAGGAAGGUCCGGACUCCAAGAACAAAGGUGACGGUUAACGACCGUACGCAAUAGGCUGAUAAGCUGAAGGCGAGGAAUAGGGCCACAGAGACGAGCCGGCGAGAUAAUUUUGCCGAUGUGAAACGGGCAACCUCCACCUGGAGCAACACCAAAUAGGCAUGCGCGCAAGUUUAUUGUAGAGUCUGUUCGGCUUAGCAUGCGGGUAGGUGGCUAGAGCUCACUAGUAAUAGUGAGUCGAGAUGGAUGGUCGCACAAGAUCUUUAUUGAUUUGGACAGAAUCCGGCCUAUAGAUUCGCUUCGCAA
Molecule: RNase P RNA, 339 nt
Filed under: Pseudomonadota bacterium
Lineage: Bacteria; Pseudomonadati; Pseudomonadota
Description: Proteobacteria bacterium RNase P RNA component class A
Rfam family: Bacterial RNase P class A
About the family: Ribonuclease P (RNase P) is a ubiquitous endoribonuclease, found in archaea, bacteria and eukarya as well as chloroplasts and mitochondria.
Source: RNAcentral